AAACAAAGAGAAAAGGAAGGACAGAGUCUAAGAAGAUCAGAGAAGAUCAGAGAAGAGGAAGAACAGAGUCAUAGAAAAUCAGAGAAGAUAAGAGAAGAGGAAGGACAGAGUCAUAGAAAAUCAGAGAAGAUAAGAGAAGAGGAAGGACAGAGUCAUAGAAAAUCAGAGAAGAUCAGAGAAGAGGAAGGACAGAGUCAUAGAGGAUCAGAGAAGAUCGGAGAAGAGGAAGGACAGAGUCAUAGAAAAUCAGAGAAGAUCAGAGAAGAGGAAGGACAGAGUCAUAGAAAAUCAGAGAAGAUCAGAGAAGAGGAAGGACAGAGUCAUAGAAAAUCAGAGAAGAUCAGAGAAGAGGAAGGACAGAGUCAUAGAAAAUCAGAGAAGAUCAGAGAAGAGGAAGGACAGAGUCAUAGAAAAUCAGAGAAGAUCAGAGAAGAGGAAGGACAGAGUCAUAGAGGAUCAGAGAAGAUAAGAGAAGAGGAAGGACAGAGUCAUAGAGGAUCAGAGAAGAUCAGAGAAGAGGAAGGACAGAGUCAUAGAGGAUCAGAGAAGAUCAGAGAAGAGGAAGGACAGAGUCAUAGAGGAUCAGAGAAGAUAAGAGAAGAGGAAGGACAGAGUCAUAGAGGAUCAGAGAAGAGCUUAAAGGAAAAACGAAUGUUGUCUAAUACUGAUCUGAUCUUCUUUCUCUCCUCCACCUCAUCCUCUCUCUCUCUCUCUUCUCUCUCCCCCAGGCAGGGAUCCCUCUCUCUCUCUCUCUCUUCUCUCUCCCCCAGACAGGGUUCUCUCUCUCUCUCUCUCUCUCUCUCUCUCUCUCUCUUCUCUCUCCCCCAGGCAGGGAUCCCUCUCUCUCUCUCUCUCUUCUCUCUCCCCCAGACAGGGUUCUCUCUCUCUCUCUCUCUCUCUCUCUUCUCUCUCGCACAGGCAGGGCUCUCUCUCUCUCUCAAUUUCUCUCAAUUCAAUUCAAGGGGUUUAUUGUUAUGGGAAACAUAUGUUAACAUUGCCAAAGCAAGUGAAAUAAAUAAUAAACAAAAGUGA
Molecule: long non-coding RNA, 1032 nt
Filed under: Oncorhynchus mykiss (rainbow trout)
Lineage: Eukaryota; Metazoa; Chordata; Actinopteri; Salmoniformes; Salmonidae
Description: lncRNA (ENSOMYG00000049573.1)
Source: RNAcentral